This 640-nucleotide ribosomal RNA is filed under the name uncultured fungus. RNAcentral's name for it is "eukaryotic LSU rRNA". The stretch from base 207 to 360 matches the Rfam family "5.8S ribosomal RNA". The record is from RNAcentral. Lineage: Eukaryota; Fungi.
UCUUGGUCAUUUAGAGGAAGUAAAAGUCGUAACAAGGUUUCCGUAGGUGAACCUGCGGAAGGAUCACUAAAGAAUUCGCCCUUCGGGGCUCUCUUUAUUCACACACCCCUGUGCACUUUGGCCACCUCUUUGUUGAGGUGUGUCUUUUUAAUUACCAUACCCUAUAAACACAAGUUAUUGAAUGUAAAAUCGUUAUAAACUAAUAUAACUUUCAACAACGGAUCUCUUGGUUCUCGCAUCGAUGAAGAACGCAGCGAAUUGCGAUAAGUAAUGUGAAUUGCAGAAUUCAGUGAAUCAUCGAAUCUUUGAACGCAUCUUGCGCUCUUUGGUAUUCCGAAGAGCAUGCCUGUUUGAGUGUCAUGAAACUCUCACCUCCAAUCUUUUUUAACUAGAAGGUUGGAGCGUGGACGUGAGUGCUGCUGGUGCCCUGGUUGCAUCGGCUCACUUGAAAUUCAUUAGCUGAAUCCUUUAAAGUAGGUUCUACUCGACGUGAUAAGAUCUCCGUCGAGGACAGUGCUUCGGCAUUGGCCAACGAUAAAGUUGAUACGCUUCUAAUUAGCGCAGACUUCGAGUGCUGGCAAUUUUGACAACUUGGCCUCAAAUCAGGUAGGACUACCCACUGAACUUAAGCAUAUCAAUA